This 72-nucleotide transfer RNA is filed under the name Archangium gephyra. RNAcentral describes it as "tRNA-Val". It matches the Rfam family "tRNA". Rfam says of the family: Transfer RNA (tRNA) molecules are approximately 80 nucleotides in length. The record is from RNAcentral. RNAcentral also lists the same sequence under 7 other names. Lineage: Bacteria; Pseudomonadati; Myxococcota; Myxococcia; Myxococcales; Archangiaceae.
GGGCACAUAGCUCAGCGGUAGAGCAUCGCCUUCACACGGCGGGGGUCCCAGGUUCGAAACCUGGUGUGCCCA